RNAcentral lists this ribosomal RNA (1441 nucleotides) under Thoropa cf. lutzi CFBH-T10562. RNAcentral's name for it is "16S ribosomal RNA". It matches the Rfam family "Bacterial large subunit ribosomal RNA", at positions 204 to 2597 of the family's 2925-position model. The record is from RNAcentral. Lineage: Eukaryota; Metazoa; Chordata; Amphibia; Anura; Cycloramphidae.
UAUUACCCCGAGCCCAAAAUCUAGCCCAAAAAUAUUCUAAUGAAAACACCAUUCUAUCCUUUUUAAUUAAAACAUUCUUAAAAUUUAGUAAAGGCGAUCGAAAAAUUUUAAUGGCGCAAUAAACCUAGUACCGCAAGGGAAAGAUGAAAUAACCGUGAAACACCCCCAAGCACCAAAAAGUAGAGAUUUCCGCUCGUACCUUUUGCAUCAUGGUUUAACAAGUUUAAUCAAGCACAACGCCCUACAGUUUGACUUCCCGAAACUAAACGAGCUACUUCAAGGCAGCUUAAUGAGCCUACCCGUCUCUGUUGCAAAAGAGUGGGGAGACCUUCAAGUAGAGGUGAUAGACCUAACGAGUUUAGUGAUAGCUGGUUACUCAAGAAAAGGAUUUUAGUCCGACCUAAAGAUACUUAAAUACAACAAUAUACAAAUCUUAACUUUAGAGCAACUCAAAUAAGGUACAGCCUAUUUGAAACAGGAAACAACCUCAACUUAAGGGCAAGAAUUUAACAAAAUAACUAAGUGGGCCUAAAAGCAGCCAUCUUUAAAACAGCGUCAAAGCUUAAUCAUUUUUGUUUUUUAAUUCCUCCACAACUCUCUUUCCCUUUAUUAGUAUUGAGUAAUUCUAUAACAUUAUAGAACAUUUUAUGUUAAAACUAGUAACAAGAAGAAAGCCCUUCUCUUUAAUGUAAGUGUAAAUCAGAAAGGAUCCACCACUGAUUAUUAACACCUAUGAACUCACAGUAGCAACUCAACAAGAAAACUCUACUAAUAAUAAUGUUAACCUAACACAAGAACAUUUUAAGAAAGAUUAACAGAAAAAGAAGGAACUCGGCAAAUAUUAACCUCGCCUGUUUACCAAAAACAUCGCCUCUUGAAACCACUAAUAAGAGGUCCAGCCUGCCCAGUGACUCUGUUCAACGGCCGCGGUAUUCUAACCGUGCGAAGGUAGCGUAAUCACUUGUUCUUUAAAUAAGGACUAGUAUGAAAGGCACCACGAGGGUUAUACUGUCUCCUUUUUCUAAUCAGUUAAACUAAUCUCCCCGUGAAGAAGCGGGGAUUUAUAUAUAAGACGAGAAGACCCUAUGGAGCUUUAAACAUUUAUAGCAUCUGCUAAAUUAAUUUAAAUUUCAGCAAACCCAUAUUUAUUUUAGCAUUACUGACUAUUAGUUUUAGGUUGGGGUGACCAUGGAGAAAAAUAAAACCUCCAUAUUGAAUUUUAGAACAAUAUCUAAGCAAAAAGUCACGACUUUAAGCAUCAAAAAAUUGACAUCAAUUGACCCAAUAUUUUGACCAACGAACCAAGUUACCCUAGGGAUAACAGCGCAAUCUACUUCAAGAGCUCCUAUCGACAAGUAGGUUUACGACCUCGAUGUUGGAUCAGGGUAUCCUAGUGGUGCAGCCGCUACUAAAGGUUCGUUUGUUCAACGAUUAAAACCCU